AGUGUUGGAAGUGGGGCCUGGUUGGAAGUAUUUGGAUUACGGAGGAUGAUCCUUCAUGGUUUAGUGCUUUCCUCCUGACAAUCUGUGUCUAUACCCAUCUGUGGAAGGAAGUGAAGACUUGAGUCUCCUCACUGGCAUGUGGCCUUAACUGGCUGAUGCUCACAGGUAACCCACAGCCCAUGUGCAGGAAACUGCACACACAAAUAGCCCUUCUGCUGCUGAGAGGCUUUUCUGACUAUGUAGAUGGUAAUCUCAGCCAAAUUCCUGCUUGCAGAGUGAUGAGCAUCCCUCCAGGCUCCAGUAGAGGCACUUGACAAGGGCUGCAUAUGGAUAUUACAAAGGGAACAGGAAGUACACCCCAGUAAUUAAUAUUAUAUCUUGUCCCCAAAGACAUUCUGCUCCCUUUAUAUGUUAGUUGACUGAUCAUCUGACUCCUCUGAGAGGUAAUGAUGAAGUUAAUAUAAACACUGAGCUUUAUACCUAAUUUCUACUAUUAAAAGCAGGGGAGGAGGGAGGGCAGAUACACCACACAGACGCAGAAAGCUGACUGUUAAUGCUUAAGAGAAAUGUCAGUGAUAUUUGGUAUGCAGUGGAAAGAGUCAGAAACCUGGUUUUUCUGGAUGGUGAAGGUUGUUGCUGGUAAAUCUGCUCAUGGUGACAGGUAUUACAAAUAACCCGGAGAAAAGGGAAAUUGAAAGAACUCAAAGAGAAAGAGUAGGAAGGUCCUGCAGUAUUCUACUUCUGUUUCAUCCCUACUAGUAUCUUUUACAAAACAAAACCAUGCCAACAAAAGCUCAGUGCUAAUCCAGACCCACAUAGUGUGAAAUAGACUCCAGCUCUUAGUUCACUUACCUUGUUAGUGAGAGAGGAGGUGAGCAAAAGACCAAAGGUAAAUCGGGGAUUAUUCUUAGCACAGUGCAGACAUCUGUCUGUCUUUGCAGGCCAUUGUGAGAUGACAACUGGAAACUCAUGCUUCAAAAAAUGAUUUAAAUUAUACAUACCUCACAUUUUGGCAUUAAAAUAAUAGACAUUCCUAAGGUAAAUGUCUAGUCUAAGCAUAUGGAAAAUCCUGUAAUUCAUGCUUUUAAUCAUUCACUUAUUCAAUGGAUAUUUUCUGCAUACUUUGCUGCUGCAUCAGUCACUGCUGGAUUGUAUAAGUGAUGCCCACUGUUCUCAGAGGGUUUAUAGACUAGACGAUCAAGUAUGUUGGAUAAUACUUGAGAAAAAAAGGAGACUAUACACAGAUGUGAAUUUUGUUGGGCCAAUAAAACAUUAGAGCUAUUGACUGGAGAGAACAAAAAGAUGGAUUAUUUUUUAAAGAACAAAGAUGGAUUUCUUUCUUCCCGGAAUCUCCCAUGUUACACUGUUACAAUUUCUAAAGAGCUAUGUAAGAUUACAGUGGUGAGAGAGCCCAGCCAUAAUAUAGUUCCAUGAAUGCUGUCCCUGGGCUCAAUAUAAUCUGCCCCUAAAGAGUCAAAACAGUCACUAGAAAUCUGAUUAUUCCAUUGUUUGUGGGAGAAAAUUCCAUCCUUUCUUCAUGAUUUAGUUUGGUUAAAAAAUUCUGAUUUAUGACUUACUGGAUUAUCUCCAAAUAUUUCAAGGGGAUCAUGCUGUCUUUUGAUCCUCGAUGGCCAAAUAUUUUUAAUUCUUGUACAAUUAAGAUAAAACAAGACAAGCUUGACUAUGGGGAUGAAGCUAGGCAUUGAAAAAGAAUACAAUUGAGGGGGUGUCACAGCUCCCCCAAAAUGGACAAUCUUUGCAUUCAUAUCGUCUGUAUUAAAGAUUCAAUUUCUUCACCACCUAUCACAAAAAUAAAAAUAUAUUUUGUAUGUCACAAAAGUCAGACCAGCCUCUUUCAACUGUUUCUGUCAGUGGAAAAUGCUUUUAAUGAAAAUAAAAUGAACAUGAUUUCUUCUGAACCACAGAAUUGUUUCAAUGGCUCGUGGUGUCUAAGUAUUAGAAAUAAAGAACUAGAAUUUUAGGAUCUGAGAAUUUCAGGGGGAAAAUACGACCAAGUUUUGGUCUACAUGUGUUCAUCAGGGGUUAUGCUUCACAGUGGAUGCUCUGAGGGGAGAAUGGGGAACAGAUGCAGCUGUGGAGGGGAGCCAGCCUCUGCACAGGGACGCCGUUCCACAUUGCUGGGGCUCGGCGGUGGUGAGUCUGGGAGCUGCACAGCAUUAUGGCGGGUGCAGUGGUUCAGUUGUUAUUAGUGAGUGUCAUUGUGCCCUGUUUGCAAGCACUCAAGUGUUCAGAGGAGGAAUCAAGGGUACCAAAUGGAGAAAAACAAUACACAAGAGUCUAAUAUCUUUAAGUGGGUAAAUUAUCUUUUCCUUGAGAAAGCAGAAAAUGUUAAUGGCUAAGUCUACAAAGACAUUUUAUAAUAGAAGUAAAUAAAGAAACAAAAGAUUGUUCCAGUACUUUUGUGUGCAAUUAAAGCCUGUCAUUCAGUACCCUAAAUUAAUCUAAGUACUCUGACGUAAAUGUGUAUGUCAUAAAAGGUACAUUUUGUCUUGAAUUUUUUCUUUAUAUAAAUAAUUAACAACUGGAUUUUUGUGUGUGUGUGCAGUGAUAUUUGACUUAAUG
RNAcentral lists this long non-coding RNA (2583 nucleotides) under Homo sapiens (human). RNAcentral's name for it is "HSALNT0315125". Lineage: Eukaryota; Metazoa; Chordata; Mammalia; Primates; Hominidae. The record is from RNAcentral.